GUUAGUGGCGAACGGGUGAGUGACACGUGGGUAACCUACCCUUAAAUGGGGAAUAACUUCGAGAAAUCGGGGCUAAUACCGCAUGAUGUCCCGUUCCAUAAGGAACGGGACUAAAGGUCCCGUAAGGGAUUGUUUAAGGAUGGGCCCGCGGCCUAUUAGCUUGUUGGUAGGGUAAUAGCCUACCAAGGCGAUGAUGGGUAGCCGACCUGAGAGGGUAUACGGCCACACUGGGAUUGAGAUACGGCCCAGACUCCUACGGGAGGCAGCAGUGGGGAAUUUUGGACAAUGGGGGAAACCCUGAUCCAGCGACGCCGCGUGAGGGAUGAAGGCCUUCGGGUUGUAAACCUCUGUCAGAGAGGACGAAUUAGCUCCGAUUCUGUCGGAGCAGGACGGUACUCUCAGAGGAAGCCACGGCUAACUCCGUGCCAGCAGCCGCGGUAAUACGGAGGUGGCAAGCGUUAUCCGGAUUCAUUGGGCGUAAAGGGCGUGUAGGUGUCCCGAUAAGUCAAGUGUGAAAUCCUUCCGCUUAACGGAAGAACUGCAUUUGAAACUAUGGGGAUUGAGUACAGGAGAGGAGAGUGGAAUUCCUGGUGUAGCGGUGAAAUGCGUAGAUAUCAGGAGGAACACCGGUGGCGAAGGCGACUCUCUGGCCUGAUACUGACACUGAGACGCAAAAGCUAGGGGAGCAAACAGGAUUAGAUACCCUGGUAGUCCUAGCCGUAAACGAUGCUCACUAGGUGUGGGAGGUAUCGAUUCCUUCUGUGCCGCAGCUAACGCAUUAAGUGAGCCGCCUGGGGAGUACGACCGCAAGGUUGAAACUCAAAGGAAUUGACGGGGGCCCGCACAAGCGGUGGAGCAUGUGGUUCAAUUCGACGCUACGCGAAAAACCUUACCGAGAUUUGACAUCCCGACGACAGUCCCGGAAACGGGAUUUCCCUUCGGGGCGUCGGGACAGGUGGUGCAUGGCUGUCGUCAGCUCGUGUCGUGAGAUGUUGGGUUAAGUCCCGCAACGAGCGCAACCCCUACCCUUAGUUGCCAGCGGAUAAUGCCGGGCACUCUAAGGGAACUGCCUCGGAUAACGGGGAGGAAGGUGGGGAUGACGUCAAGUCCUCAUGCCCUUUAUGUCUCGGGCCACACACGUGCUACAAUGGUCGGUACAAAGGGUUGCUAACCCGCGAGGGGGAGCCAAUCCCAAAAAGCCGGCCUCAGUUCGGAUUGAAGGCUGCAACUCGCCUUCAUGAAGUCGGAAUCGCUAGUAAUGGCGCAUCAGCACGGCGCCGUGAAUACGUUCCCGGGCCUUGUACACACCGCCCGUCACACCAACCGAGUCGGGUGUACCCGAAGUCGUUUUUCUAACCCUGAGAUUCGUCGAAGGGAGGAGGGCGCCUAGGUGUGCCUGGUAA
This 1403-nucleotide ribosomal RNA is filed under the name uncultured bacterium. RNAcentral describes it as "16S ribosomal RNA". It matches the Rfam family "Bacterial small subunit ribosomal RNA". The record is from RNAcentral.